This is a small nuclear RNA of Otolemur garnettii (small-eared galago), 105 nucleotides long. Lineage: Eukaryota; Metazoa; Chordata; Mammalia; Primates; Galagidae. The record is from Ensembl.
GUGCUUGCUUUGGCAGCACAUGUACUAAAAUUGGAAUGAUGGAGAAGAUUAGCAUGGCCCCUGUGCAAGGAUGACACACAAAUUUGUGAAGCAUUCCAUAUAUUU